CUAAAUUGCAAAAGUUACUGACAGGGCUUUCAAUAAUGGCUAAAGUCAUCACAAAAUUAUUUUGCUAUCUAAGAGCAUAAAACGUGUGUACAUUUAGAAUAUAUCAUCUUUUAAAUGCGUAUAUCUUAAAAAGUCAAAUGUAGCACAUGAAGUUGACUAUAGUCCUUAAGCGUGAUAAAGAUAUUUAUUAUGCUAAUGUUUUUAAAUUGGAAAGGUAGCAAUGUUGAUACGAAACUCUACUAGUACUGCCAAGCUUAUGUUUGUAAUGUUCAUGUAACCCCGAUUUAAACUUCUCAUGGGCGGAUCCAGCCAUUUUAAAUAGGGGGGUUCAUGACCCACGACAAAAAAAAGGGGGGGGGUCCAACUACAUGUC
RNAcentral lists this long non-coding RNA (373 nucleotides) under Mytilus galloprovincialis (Mediterranean mussel). Lineage: Eukaryota; Metazoa; Mollusca; Bivalvia; Mytilida; Mytilidae. The record is from RNAcentral.